UGGGGAAUAUUGCACAAUGGAGGGAACUCUGAUGCAGCGACGCCGCGUGAACGAAGAAGGCUUUCGAGUCGUAAAGUUCUUUUAUAUGGGAAGAUAAUGACGGUACCAUAAGAAAAAGCCCCGGCUAACUACGUGCCAGCAGCCGCGGUAAUACGUAGGGGGCUAGCGUUGUCCGGAAUCACUGGGCGUAAAGGGUUCGCAGGCGGAAAUGCAAGUCAGGUGUAAAAGGCAGUAGCUUAACUACUGUAAGCAUUUGAAACUGCAUAUCUUGAGAAGAGUAGAGGUAAGUGGAAUUUUUAGUGUAGCGGUGAAAUGCGUAGAUAUUAAAAAGAAUACCGGUGGCGAAGGCGACUUACUGGGCUCAUUCUGACGCUGAGGAACGAAAGCGUAGGUAGCAAACAGG
This 403-nucleotide ribosomal RNA is filed under the name bacterium. Its description in RNAcentral is "partial 16S ribosomal RNA". It matches the Rfam family "Bacterial small subunit ribosomal RNA", at positions 355 to 776 of the family's 1533-position model. RNAcentral also lists the same sequence under 1 other name. The record is from RNAcentral.